UUUUCAUAAAGUGAAAUCCUCAAUUUAGGAGUUGGAUAAUAAAGUACACAUCACGACGAGUUCGUGGAAAUUUUCGGGGAAUUUUUCGGAUACCCGAGCUAUUUAUAGCGAUUUUCAGAAGUUAUGGGAUUUUAGAAAAAUGAUUUAGAGAAAAAGAAAUUGCCUCGGUGCGAUCUGGACCGUUGGUCAAGCACCGCUUGAUCCUAGCCGUCCAUUAUUAUUUGGACAACUCUAUAUAGGUCUGUGAAUAGGGGAAAGCCCAGAAUGAUCGAGAGAGAGGGAGAGAAAACCAGAGUCUCCGACCCGGAACGCGACCGCGACUGGGUCCGACGGAAAACGCUCCUCCGGCCACCUCUCCACGGCGGACAACCGGCAAUAGCUUCGUCUCUCUGUCUCUUACGUCCCUGUGGUCUCAGAUCAUCCAUGCAACGAUCGUGUACAGAGAAUCGACAACGGGAAGCUUCGAACUGUCUCAGGCGAUUUCCGUGAGUUCAGGCGAUUCCGGCCACCAUCUGGGCUGUAAUUGCUUCUCCGUCUUUCCUGGGCUCCAUCUCUUGCUCAGCUGCACCUGCAAUUCGAGGUUCCUUUUCGAUCUAGCUGAUCACAAGGUGAGUUGGGUUCUGUUGAAGGUCUGAGAAUUUACACUUCUGGAAACUGGGCUGCCUUGUAGCAUGCAUGCUGUGAUGUUGUGUUUGAGAAGAGUAAAUUGGUAGUUAGUCAGAAGAAAUCGAAAGCUAUGUUGUGAGCUUGCUGUUUUGUCCAUGUUUGCUAAGAUUGUAGUUGUUAAAUGAUUUUGGUGAUGGAUGUUGUAGUAUGUUUCUUAUUCUGGUGAAAAUGACAAAGCAUAAAUAUGCAAGUAUGCGUUUAGUUGAA
Long non-coding RNA from Rosa rugosa (rugosa rose), 873 nucleotides. RefSeq lists it as uncharacterized. Lineage: Eukaryota; Viridiplantae; Streptophyta; Magnoliopsida; Rosales; Rosaceae. The record is from RefSeq and is a predicted model, not a curated record. The transcript has 2 exons.